GUUUCCGUAGGUGAACCUGCAGAUGGAUCAUCGUCGAUACCUUAUAGGUACAUGCUGAUCACGAGAUGCCGAUAAUCAUGGAAUCAGGCUUGUUCUUGGUUCCAGUCGGUGUCUCACCCCAUCUAAGCUCUCGGUGAGGUGUCUAUUCUUGAUUGGAGCCGCUUUGAGUGACGGCAAUGAUAGUUGGGUAUGUUCCCCGUGAGGGUAGAGCAUAGACUUUAUGAACAGAGCUGGGCUGUCGCCUCACCAAAAACCAUCGAUAACUGGUGGCUGAGUGAGAAAUCACUGGAUCUGCUAUGCAGGGAGCCUUAAUGAGUUGGUCUUCACCAACACAACCGCCACUAUCGGUAAUCUAUUCCCAAUUAACUUGUUUCUAGUAAAAGGCUAAAUUAGUCAGUGGAAAAUAGCCUUAGCGAUGGAUCGGUUGAUUCGCGUAUCGAUGAAAAACGCAGCUAGCUGCGUUAUUUACCACGAAUUGCAGACGCUUAGAGUGGUGAAGUUUUGAACGCACAGCGCCGUUGGGUUUUCCCUUCGGCACGUCUGGCUCAGGGUUGUUUAAUAGACUUCGAUAUUGCUAGGAAGGCAGCAAUAUCGUGCACCAAACGGUGAUAGUGUCUAUAAAAUAGUGGUGCAUACCCCGUUUUAGGGUAAAAUAAAGGUCGUAAACUGAAACUUCUUCCGCCCGAGAAGUUAUAGGUAAUACUUAUGGAUGUGCCAUGUAUGAAAUAUGACGUGGUUAUAUACAUAAAUAGUAUUUCCUUGAAGUCUCAUUAUGCAACCUGAGCUCAGUCGUGAUUACCCGCUGAACUUAAGCAUAU
RNAcentral lists this small RNA (818 nucleotides) under Heterorhabditis indica. RNAcentral's name for it is "eukaryotic LSU rRNA". The stretch from base 405 to 554 matches the Rfam family "5.8S ribosomal RNA". Lineage: Eukaryota; Metazoa; Nematoda; Chromadorea; Rhabditida; Heterorhabditidae. The record is from RNAcentral.